CGGCCCUUUACGCCGUCUUAGCAAACGGGCACCGGUUUCAGAAAAGGAUGUCCAAUGACCGUCAACGCAGGCGCAACCCAGCGCUUGUUUCACGGAGAUAUCACCGGUGGUGUUGACGUGAAGCGGUCUUUGCAAGGACCGCACAAUGAAACGGUACAUCUGUAUCUUUCUCGUUGUCACCGGCGCGACGCUGACACAAGGGAAGGGGAGCUGGAGCAUUUCCAACAACUCUCUUAAUGUGAUCAUUAACGCACCGGGCAAGUAAGCCAGAAAGCCGUCCCACAAGGGACGGCUUUCUU
This 299-nucleotide small RNA is filed under the name Rahnella variigena. Its description in RNAcentral is "ryfA RNA". It matches the Rfam family "ryfA RNA". Rfam says of the family: This family consists of a number of bacterial RNA genes of 305 bases in length. The record is from RNAcentral. Lineage: Bacteria; Pseudomonadati; Pseudomonadota; Gammaproteobacteria; Enterobacterales; Yersiniaceae.